Long non-coding RNA from Otolemur garnettii (small-eared galago), 1228 nucleotides. RefSeq lists it as uncharacterized. The transcript has 6 exons. NCBI's taxonomy places the organism in Eukaryota, Metazoa, Chordata, Mammalia, Primates, Galagidae. The record is from RefSeq and is a predicted model, not a curated record.
GCACCACCCCGGCCCAAGGUUUCUGCUUCUGGCUCCUGCUCUGGGCUCUGUUUUGCCCUGGUGCCCUGCCCACCCGCAGAGGAAAGCAAACCUUUCCCCAGGCCAUACGGAAGGAGAACUGAACAUGGCAGGGGCCCUGUCGGACCGGUGAUAACAGGCUGAUUGGCUCCCUGGAAGUGACCAGGCUUGAGACAGACAGUGAAGUGGAUGGAUCAGUCCUGGUGGGAUCUGAUCAGAGACAGCACCUUUCUGUCACCUUUCUUGGUGACUCAUUUGGAACUGUGGACUCUGCGGCGCCCUUUGGCUUGCAGGCUGUGUCACAGACUAGUUUCCUUCCUGGAGGGAGGGCUCGCUGGUGUUUCAAGGCCCCACCUCCCAGUGCCGUGACAUUGAGGAUUAAGCUUCCAACACCUGCUCUUUACGGGACACAUUCAAACCACAGCAGGCCCCCAGAAGCUGUCCUCACUUCAGGCAAACAGCUCAAGACACAGGGCAUCCAGACCGGCCAGUGGUGGCCCAGGCUGCUUGUUGGGGCAGCGAGAGGUCAUCCAGAUAGAAUACAAAGUGAUGCCAGUGGAGUGUCCGAGGGAGGUAGCAAGUCCAGACAAUGGCCUUCAGUGACCACUGACCUUGUAAGAAGACAGCCAGGCGUUACUCGCCACCCGGGGAAAGCAGCCAUCACACUCCCAAAGCAUUCUUAUCUGAUGAGGCUUCUGUCCUGAACCACCAAGCCGUAGAAAAUACAGGGUUCCCAGAAAUAUAGUCAGUAACAACACAGGGACGAAACCAGCAAAUCCAGACCGGAGCCGGGCAAGGCAGCCUGAUUCCUCCCACGAGUCAACUGCACAGAGAAGAAAAAAAUCUGUGUCUAUACUGCGGUUUGCAAAGGCCAUGGCGGAGGCGCAAGGGAGCCCCGGGCCCUGGGCCGCCCCUGACCAGCCCUGUGUGUUCAAGCUGGUUCUCCUGGGCAGUGGCUCUGUGGGCAAGUCCAGCUUGGCCCUGCGGUACGUGAAGGAUGACUUCAGGAGCAUCCUGCCCACUGUGGGAUGUAAGUGAGGGGUGGGGACAGGGCCCCUGACCACCCACUGUAGGAUGUAAGUGAGGGGUGGGGACAGGGCUCCUGACCACCCACUGUGGGAUGUGAGGGGUGGGGACGGGGCCCCUGACCACCCACUGUGGGAUGUAAGUGAGGGGUGGGGACAGGGCUCCUGACCACCCACUGUGGGAU